This 253-nucleotide ribosomal RNA is filed under the name uncultured bacterium. Its description in RNAcentral is "partial 16S ribosomal RNA". It matches the Rfam family "Bacterial small subunit ribosomal RNA", at positions 524 to 776 of the family's 1533-position model. The record is from RNAcentral.
UACGUAGGGGGCUAGCGUUGUCCGGAAUCAUUGGGCGUAAAGAGCGUGUAGGCGGCCCGGUAAGUCCGCUGUAAAAGUCAAAGGCUCAACCUUUGAAUGUCAGUGGAUACUGCCGGGCUAGAGUCCGGAAGAGGCGAGUGGAACUCCUGGUGUAGCGGUGGAAUGCGUAGAGAUCGGGAAGAAUACCAGUGGCGAAGGCGUUCUGCUGGGCCGUUGCUGACACUGAGGCGCGACAGCGUGGGGAGCAAACAGG